Molecule: ribosomal RNA, 253 nt
Filed under: uncultured bacterium
Lineage: Bacteria
Description: partial 16S ribosomal RNA
Rfam family: Bacterial small subunit ribosomal RNA
Source: RNAcentral
UACGUAGGUGGCAAGCGUUACUCGGAAUCACUAGGCGUAAAGCGCAGGUAGGAGGUGUGGAAAGUCUGUUGUGAAAGCUCCCGGCUUAACUGGGAGAGGUCAACGGAAACUACCAUGCUAGAGUGCGGUAGAGGUAGCUGGAAUUCCCGGUGUAGCGGUGAAAUGCGUAGAUAUCGGGAGGAAUACCUAUGGCGAAAGCAGGCUACUGGACCGUCACUGACUCUGAUCUGCGAAAGCUAGGGGAGCAAACAGG